RNAcentral lists this ribosomal RNA (495 nucleotides) under uncultured bacterium. RNAcentral's name for it is "bacterial SSU rRNA". It matches the Rfam family "Bacterial small subunit ribosomal RNA", at positions 899 to 1397 of the family's 1533-position model. The record is from RNAcentral.
ACUCAAAUGAAUUGACGGGAGCCCGCACAAGCAGUGGAGUAUGUGGUUUAAUUCGAUGCUACGCGAAGAACCUUACCAAGGCUUGACAUCCUACUGACGAAGUAGAGAUACAUUAGGUGCCCGCAAGGGAAAGUAGAGACAGGUGGUGCAUGGUUGUCGUCAGCUCGUGUCGUGAGAUGUUGGGUUAAGUCCCGCAACGAGCGCAACCCUUGUGGAUAGUUGCUACGCAAGAGCACUCUAUUCAGACUGCCGUUGACAAAACGGAGGAAGGUGGGGAUGAGGUCAAAUCAUCAUGCUCUUUAUGUCUUGGGCUACACACGUACUACAAUGGCGGCCAACAGCGGGAAGCGAAGCAGCGAUGCGGAGCAGAUCCCCAAAAGCCGCCUCAGUUCAGAUCGCAGGCUGCAACCCGCCUGCGUGAAGCUGGAAUUGCUAGUAAUCGCGGAUCAGCAUGCCGCGGUGAAUACGUUCCCGGGCUUUGCACACACCGCCCGU